RNAcentral lists this ribosomal RNA (749 nucleotides) under uncultured archaeon. RNAcentral describes it as "bacterial SSU rRNA". It matches the Rfam family "Archaeal small subunit ribosomal RNA", at positions 106 to 859 of the family's 1478-position model. The record is from RNAcentral.
CAUCUGCCUGAAGAAGAGAAUAAUCCCGGGAAACUGGGGGUAAUGCUCUAUAGUCCGGGAGGACUGGAAUGUUCUCCGGAUGAAAGAUCCGUCGCUUCAGGAUGAGUCUGCGGCCGAUUAAGUAGUUGUUGGGGUAAAAGCCCAACAAGCCUGUAAUCGGUACGGGUUGUGGGAGCAAGAGCCCGGAGAUGGAUUUCUGAGACACGAAUCCAGGCCCUACGGGGCGCAGCAGGCGCGAAAACUUUACAAUGCGGGCAACCGUGAUAAGGAAACCCCGAGUGCCAGCACAGGCUGGCUGUCCACCAGUGUAAACAACUGGUGAAGAAAGGGCCGGGCAAGACCGGUGCCAGCCGCCGCGGUAAUACCGGCGGCUCGAGUGGUGGCCGCUUUUACUGGGCUUAAAGGGUCCGUAGCUUGAUCCAUGGGUCCCUUGAGAAAUCCAUCAGCUUAACUGCUGGGCGUUCAGGGGAAACUUGUGGUUCUAGGGACCGGGAGAGGUAAGAGGUACUGCCGGGGUAGGAGUGAAAUCCUGUAAUCCCGGUGGGACGACCUAUAGCGAAGGCAUCUUACCAGAACGGCUCCGACAGUGAGGGACGAAAGCUGGGGGAGCAAACCGGAUUAGAUACCCGGGUAGUCCCAGCUGUAAACGAUGCGCGUUAGGUGUGUCAGUGACCACGUGUCACUGAUGUGCCGAAGGGAAACCGUGAAACGCGCCGCCUGGGGAGUACGGUCGCAAGGCUGAAACUUAA